GAUAAAAAACAAACACUUUUGCAGCAGUGUGUUUAUUUCAGUGAAAUGUUGUUGGGAAAGAAUAACUGAAACACUCCAUUAAACUUUUUUUGAACGGUGUGUUACUUUUUUAUCUAUUUUUUUUUUUUAUCAAAGGUUUUUUUUUCUUUCCUAUGUUAUAUUUUCCUCUAUUUCCUAGAAUAUUUUCUCUAACAAAAUAGCUCAAAUCAGAACAGUGCAUAUCCAUUAAGCCAAUUUGUCAAUCAUUGUUUUAUAUGAAACUUUAGCUCUUCUCAUUUUCAGUGUGCACUGGAGCAGAAGUAGCCAAUUCCUCCCUGAAGAUGGCAAGCCCUGGGUUCCUGAGGUGCCCUGACAGCGUUUGUGUGGUUUCUGCUUGCACUGAUGGCAUCUUCUGACCUCCUGAGAACUCCUGAGGACUGCGGAUGGCUCAAUCAUGUACCACCCUGCAGAUCACUGAAUGAUAACAAGACUGAGGAUUUACAGUGGAUUCAAGGUGCUUCUCUGCUCUGGAAUU
Molecule: long non-coding RNA, 514 nt
Filed under: Parus major (Great Tit)
Lineage: Eukaryota; Metazoa; Chordata; Aves; Passeriformes; Paridae
Description: lncRNA (ENSPMJG00000014734.1)
Source: RNAcentral